AGGGAAUAAGUCCGUUUUUUUUGUGACACAUGGUGACCAGACCUGGAAUCAUGACCUUUUAACUAGGAUCCAGAGCUAUUCCAAGUCAGACCUAUCUGCUGCCUUUGAUACUGUGAACCAUCAGAUCCUCCUCUCCACCGUCUCCGAGUUGGGUAUCUCCGGCGCGGCUCACUCUUGGAUUGCGUCCUACCUGACAGGUCGCUCCUACCAGGUGGCGAAUCGCAUCUCUGCAUGUCUGGCAGACAUAUCAGUGUGGAUGACGGAUCACCACUUCAAGCUGAACCUCGGCAAGACGGAGCUGCUCUUCCUCCCGGG
RNAcentral lists this long non-coding RNA (315 nucleotides) under Salmo salar (Atlantic salmon). RNAcentral describes it as "lncRNA (ENSSSAG00000098976.1, ENSSSAG00075038227.1)". The record is from RNAcentral. Lineage: Eukaryota; Metazoa; Chordata; Actinopteri; Salmoniformes; Salmonidae.